GAGGAUUUAGCUCAGUGGCGUAAGCGCUUGCCUUGCAAGCAAGAGGUCGUGAGUUCAAUCCCCA
RNAcentral lists this transfer RNA (64 nucleotides) under Cavia porcellus (domestic guinea pig). It matches the Rfam family "tRNA", at positions 1 to 62 of the family's 71-position model. Rfam says of the family: Transfer RNA (tRNA) molecules are approximately 80 nucleotides in length. Their secondary structure includes four short double-helical elements and three loops (D, anti-codon, and T loops). The record is from Rfam by way of RNAcentral. Lineage: Eukaryota; Metazoa; Chordata; Mammalia; Rodentia; Caviidae.